AUUUAAUUACAGUUUCUGUACUUUCAGAAAUGGAAUCUCAAACCUGUCACUCAGGAAUUGCCUGAUCAGUGCUAGUGAGGUAAUCUGCCUGGUAAUACUCCAGACAUCUCCCAAAGAAAAGUAGCCUUGCAAUAACCAAUCUCUCUCUCUCUUUUUUUCCUGCCUAGUAUAACUUCCUAAUUCCUGUUUUCUUCUGCCUAUAAAAGUCUUUCGUUCUGAUAGCACCUUGGAACUCUUUUCUAUCUGCUGGGCUAGAUGCUACCUGAUUCAUGAAUUGUUGAGUAAAGACACUAAGAUCUUUAAAAAUUUCUUAGUUGAAUUUUGUUUGUAACAGUGCAUAUAUGUGGUUUCCUUGCUGAAGAGUCGAAAUCAGGUAGAUUUUUUUCCCAGCAUUGUACGAUUGUAGAGGUGCAAUCCCCAGGCAGGCCUACAAAUAAUAUAUGAUUUUGUACCUCGUUAUUCUUCAGAAUCCCUAGGAGAAAAAUGGCUCAGGAUAGAAAGUGGAAGUAUGUUGAAAACUUUGGUUAGACUUCCUAGAAAUCUUGCAGCAUUAGCAAGUUGUAGAGGUGAGUAUUUUAAGGGGGUUGAAUAGGUAUAAAUGGACAAAUUCAUACCAAUAUCAUGGUGAAUAGAGCAAGACCAACUAUCUUGGAAGACCCUUGUGGCAGAAACUAUUGAUUACUUAUCCCAAAUGAACCACCCCUUUUCUUCCUUCCUAGAAGAGCACUGCAUUUGUUUAGCAAUUGGGUUUACAGGCAUUCCAAAGACCCCUCUCCAGCCCCAGAGACAAAUGUGAUUACUGUAAGACAAUUGUGGGUAGUGUAUAAGAAGCCUUUGGGAAAUGUCUCCCUUGAAAUACAUAAAGAGAAGCAUGAGAGGAACGCCUUCUUCUUUGCUGGAUGUCAUGUCUGCAUGUACCAUCUGGAAUUGCUACAGCCAACUUGCAAAUAUAAAGGAGGGCUUUGUUAACCUGCUGAGCACAGCAGAGUGGAAAGAUGCAGAGCACCUGCUCCUGGGAACUGACCACCUUCAGACUUCUUGCCACAUAAGGACUCUCAGAACUGGAGAGUUGAAAAUGACACUAUUGGCACUUGAAUGAUAUCACUGGAACAAGGAUGACAAUAACCAAGUGUUGAUUAUUAACAAGAUCAAUCCAAGAUGUGAAAUGCAGGAAAUUACUUUGGACUGAGGGAUGAAAACACAUCUGAGACACCAGUAAGACUCUCAGUCAGUCUGCUGCCAGAGGAGAUUGAUAGAGAAUUGCCACAACCUGCAGAGAACCCUGGUUGAGUCUAUCACAAUUUUUGUGAGAUGGAUGCACAGAAAUGUGAACUUUGUAGCAUUCCAGAUGCCUCUCAGCGGAGGAAUGUUUCUUGGUUGAUGUCUAGGGGCAUGUCUUAUGUCUAACUCAUGAGAAGAGGAUUUUAAAAAAAUAAAGGGUGGAACACCAGGCUUUGGCCA
This 1461-nucleotide long non-coding RNA is filed under the name Vulpes vulpes (red fox). RNAcentral describes it as "lncRNA (ENSVVUG00000002280.1)". Lineage: Eukaryota; Metazoa; Chordata; Mammalia; Carnivora; Canidae. The record is from RNAcentral.